This 72-nucleotide transfer RNA is filed under the name bacterium. Its description in RNAcentral is "tRNA-Val". It matches the Rfam family "tRNA". From Rfam's summary of the family: Transfer RNA (tRNA) molecules are approximately 80 nucleotides in length. Their secondary structure includes four short double-helical elements and three loops (D, anti-codon, and T loops). Further hydrogen bonds mediate the characteristic L-shaped molecular structure. tRNAs have two regions of fundamental functional importance: the anti-codon, which is responsible for specific mRNA codon recognition, and the 3' end, to which the tRNAs corresponding amino acid is attached (by aminoacyl-tRNA synthetases). tRNAs cope with the degeneracy of the genetic code in two manners: having more than one tRNA (with a specific anti-codon) for a particular amino acid; and 'wobble' base-pairing, i.e. permitting non-standard base-pairing at the 3rd anti-codon position. The record is from RNAcentral.
GGGCACUUAGCUCAGUGGUAGAGCGUUGCAUUCACAUUGCAAAGGCCAUAGGUUCAAUCCCUAUAGUGCCCA